Molecule: ribosomal RNA, 253 nt
Filed under: uncultured bacterium
Lineage: Bacteria
Description: partial 16S ribosomal RNA
Rfam family: Bacterial small subunit ribosomal RNA
Source: RNAcentral
UACGGAGGGGGCUAGCGUUGUUCGGAAUUACUGGGCGUAAAGCGCGCGUAGGCGGACCUGUAAGUCAGGGGUGAAAUCCCGGGGCUCAACCUCGGAACUGCCUUUGAUACUGCACGUCUCGAGUCCGGAAGAGGUGGGUGGAAUUCCUAGUGUAGAGGUGAAAUUCGUAGAUAUUAGGAAGAACACCGGUGGCGAAGGCGGCCCACUGGUCCGGUACUGACGCUGAGGUGCGAAAGCGUGGGGAGCAAACAGG